Molecule: ribosomal RNA, 389 nt
Filed under: uncultured eukaryote
Lineage: Eukaryota
Description: SSU rRNA
Rfam family: Eukaryotic small subunit ribosomal RNA
Source: RNAcentral
AGCUCCAAUAGCGUAUAUUAAAGUUGUUGCAGUUAAAAAGCUCGUAGUUGGAUUUCUGGUGUCCUUUGGUCGUUGGUGCGAUUGUAUCGAUGACCGAUGGUACCUUUCUUGGGAAUUGUCGGUUUGGCAUUAGCUUGUUGAACUGCGCGAGUCCCAUCGUUUACUGUGAAAAAAUUAGAGUGUUCAAAGCAGGCUUAGGCCAGAAUACAUUAGCAUGGAAUAAUAAGAUAUGAAUUCGGUGUAGACUUGUGUCGUAUUUUGUUGGUUUGUGCAUCGAGUUAAUGAUCAAUAGGGAUAGUUGGGGGUAUUCGUAUUCAAUUGUCAGAGGUGAAAUUCUUGGAUUUAUGGAAGACGAACUACUGCGAAAGCAUUUACCAAGGAUGUUUUCA